RNAcentral lists this ribosomal RNA (560 nucleotides) under Micrococcus sp. RNAcentral describes it as "bacterial SSU rRNA". It matches the Rfam family "Bacterial small subunit ribosomal RNA", at positions 109 to 684 of the family's 1533-position model. Lineage: Bacteria; Bacillati; Actinomycetota; Actinomycetes; Micrococcales; Micrococcaceae. The record is from RNAcentral.
AGUAACACGUGAGUAACCUGCCCUUGACUCUAGGAUAAGCCCGGGAAACUGGGUCUAAUACUGGAUAGGAACGUCUACCGCAUGGUGGAUGUUGGAAAGAAUUUCGGUCAUGGAUGGACUCGCGGCCUAUCAGCUUGUUGGUGAGGUAAUGGCUCACCAAGGCGACGACGGGUAGCCGGCCUGAGAGGGUGACCGGCCACACUGGGACUGAGACACGGCCCAGACUCCUACGGGAGGCAGCAGUGGGGAAUAUUGCACAAUGGGCGAAAGCCUGAUGCAGCGACGCCGCGUGAGGGAUGACGGCCUUCGGGUUGUAAACCUCUUUCAGUAGGGAAGAAGCGAAAGUGACGGUACCUGCAGAAGAAGCACCGGCUAACUACGUGCCAGCAGCCGCGGUAAUACGUAGGGUGCGAGCGUUAUCCGGAAUUAUUGGGCGUAAAGAGCUCGUAGGCGGUUUGUCGCGUCUGUCGUGAAAGUCCGGGGCUUAACCCCGGAUCUGCGGUGGGUACGGGCAGACUAGAGUGCAGUAGGGGAGACUGGAAUUCCUGGUGUAGCGGUGG